UUAGUACUUAUGUGUGGUGCUAAGGAGGAGUUUUUCUGUAAGCACUGAAUUUGCUUUGUGUUUUUUGAGUUGUGUGGGUUUUUUUUUUCCCUCCCAUACUUUCUUCAUAACGUCAGCAGGCAGGACAUGGAUACUGGGAGAAAAAAGGAGAAAAGAAGCAGAGGAUGAAAGGAGAGCUGGUUACCCAGGCUGCUGCUGUGAGGGGACUGUGCUAGAGCUUUUCAGAAGGUGUGUCUUAGUGAGAUGGAAGAUGGUAUGUUGCUAUUGUAAGAGCAUUCUAAGCUGUGGAUCGUGAGCCAACAGACACUUCCGAUUGAGUCCAGAGGAAGACUUUCCUGGUUUUCAGGAAAUCUAGGAAACCACCACAUUACAGCCAUUGGGUUUGGCAGAGUGGGCUUGGAAGUGGUAAGCUGAGAGGUGGGCAGCAGUAUGCAUCCAGCAGGAGAGGGCUGAGAUGUGUGUUCCCUGGAGAUUACAGAUGGAAGAGAAUGGAGCCUGGCUAGUUAAGCCUUCCUCACUGAUCUGCACUGCUGAUGUCUGAGCUACUUCAUAUGUUUCAGAGCUGUGUUACAGGCUCACCAAAGAUGGCUGUGACACUGCACAUGUUGAAGCUCUUGUGUCACCGUGCUUUUGAUGCACAGUUUAGCUCUGAGCUAAAGGCAGAAGAGCCUUGCAGGAACCUUGUUGGUGUUACUGUGACACUGGCAGCCAGAUCUUAGCCAGGGCUCUGCCCUUCCCUUACUGAAUAGGGAAAUCAUCUAACUUAGUUUUUCCCAUAAGUGAAGGGGUAGUGGUAUUUGCUGUGAAAUCUAUGAAUAAGAAACUCUAUGCAAAUAUGCAGUUUUAUUUCUUCUGGGAUUUUGGGCUGGGAGAAGUAGCAGGUGAUCACUCUGUAAUCAAUUCUUCUCUGUUAUGAACAGAACAGUAGUCAGCUUCUUGAAAAUCAUCCAGCUUCCUUUUUCCUGCCAGUCUCGGCUUCUAUUCUCCUUUCCAGAGCCCUUGGCUCAACCAUUAACCACACCAGCAUUUCACCAGUUGCAACAUGUAGCUCCUCUUGAAUUGGAGUGGGAGGAAGGCUUGGAGGAGGAGGUGGUGGAGAGGGAGAGAACAGUUGCUGCAGAGAACAGAAGGCUAAUUGCAAACUUAUAAGCCUCCAGUGAAUUAAGAAAAUGGGGGAGAGUGGCUGGAAACAGGAGAGAUGAAAGGUGCGAGACUGAAAAAUAUAUUGGUAGCUGGUAGCUGUUCCAAGAGUUGGUGCAAGGCAAUCAGUGUGGAAUAGGAAAGAGGCAUUUCUUGGUCGACACUCUGAGGGGCAUUGCCAGUAAAAAGCUAAGAAUCAGUAAACUGAUUAGAAUUCUGAGACCACUGAGAAAACUUCUGGACUGAAUUCACAGCAGCCUUAUUUCCAGGAAAGCAGCUCAUCUUGAGCUCAUUCUGCCUGGAUGGAAAAAAGCAAGUCUUUAAGAUAAUUAACAAGUUUCUAUUACUUUGUGUGUUCUUAACCUAAGGCCCGUCUACUUUUAAGUUUCCAUUGCCAAAUUUCUGUUCCAGCAAGUAGCUGACGUGGAAGGAUAGCAGCUAUGUUGCAUCGUAUUGAUACUGAAUUUCGUAAAUCAGGAUGAAGGCAAUAAUCAGUGCAUUUCCUUGUUCUGCACUAGAAAUAAUUGUACAGCUGUCAAAUUCUCACUCAGGAAAACAGAUUCAGGACACCACGGCAGUGAAUAUGUACUUGCCAGAGUAACAGCUGUCAAAUUCUCAGAAAACAAACCCAUGCAGUGCAGCAGUAGAUCUCAGUUGCCUAGAAUAACUCAAUUUGUAUGUGCACUUCUGUAUUUUCUCCUGCUUUGAAAACAUCUGCUCCUAUUUCAUUGGUCAUUAGAAGUAUUUAGUUUGUAUUUUCUGUGUAUGGGCAUGAAGUUACUUCAUGCAGCCUAUAUAACAUCAGGAAAGUAUCUGUAGUGGCACCAAUGACCCAAAUAACUUUCAAUGGAAUGUUCUUGGACUCUUUUAAUAUUGGCAUUUUAAAUUAGAUGUCUCCUUUCUGCAAGUCAGUGUCUAAACUGCAAUUGCGAAGUAGUUACUUGUGACACAAGUGCUGAAAACUGAUCAAAAUAAAGUGUUGGAAAUAGUUGCACACACAAAUGCUUUGGUUCCAGACUUCUAAAUCAAAUUAAA
Molecule: long non-coding RNA, 2175 nt
Organism: Lagopus muta (rock ptarmigan)
Lineage: Eukaryota; Metazoa; Chordata; Aves; Galliformes; Phasianidae
Exons: 4
Source: RefSeq, a predicted model, not a curated record